GAUGAACGCUGGCGGCGUGCCUAAUACAUGCAAGUCGAGCGAACAGACGAGGAGCUUGCUCCUCUGACGUUAGCGGCGGACGGGUGAGUAACACGUGGAUAACCUACCUAUAAGACUGGGAUAACUUCGGGAAACCGGAGCUAAUACCGGAUAAUAUAUUGAACCGCAUGGUUCAAUAGUGAAAGACGGUUUUGCUGUCACUUAUAGAUGGAUCCGCGCCGCAUUAGCUAGUUGGUAAGGUAACGGCUUACCAAGGCAACGAUGCGUAGCCGACCUGAGAGUGUGAUCGGCCACACUAGAACUGAGACACGGUCCAGACUCCUACGGGAGGCAGCAGUAGGGAAUCUUCCGCAAUGGGCGAAAGCCUGACGGAGCAACGCCGCGUGAGUGAUGAAGGUCUUCGGAUCGUAAAACUCUGUUAUUAGGGAAGAACAAAUGUGUAAGUAACUAUGCACGUCUUGACGGUACCUAAUCAGAAAGCCACGGCUAACUACGUG
Molecule: ribosomal RNA, 497 nt
Filed under: uncultured bacterium
Lineage: Bacteria
Description: partial 16S ribosomal RNA
Rfam family: Bacterial small subunit ribosomal RNA
Source: RNAcentral